CCCUUAGAUGUCCUGGGCCGCACGCGCGCUACACUGAUGCAUGCAACGAGUUUAUAACCUUGGCCUGAAAGGUCUGGGUAAUCUUUUGAACGAGCAUCGUGAUAGGGAUAGAUUAUUGCAAUUGUUAAUCUUGAACGAGGAAUUCCUAGUAAACGCGAGUCAUCAGCUCGCAUUGAUUACGUCCCUGCCCUUUGUACACACCGCCCGUCGCACCUACCGAUUGAAUGGUUCGGUGAAGAUCUCGGACUUCGAUAUUUAUUCUUUAUUGAGUUUAUAUUGUGGGAAGUUAUCUAAACCUCAUCAUUUAGAGGAAGGUGAAGUCGGAACA
Molecule: ribosomal RNA, 328 nt
Filed under: uncultured eukaryote
Lineage: Eukaryota
Description: partial 18S ribosomal RNA
Rfam family: Eukaryotic small subunit ribosomal RNA
Source: RNAcentral